UACAGAGGCCUCGAGCGUUGUUCGGAAUUACUGGGCGUAAAGCGAGUGUAGGUGGUGACGUAAGUCAGAUGUGAAAGCCCCGGGCUUAACCCGGGAAUUGCAUUUGAUACUGCGUUGCUAGAGUGUGAUAGAGGAGAGCGGAAUUCCCGGUGUAGGGGUGAAAUCCGUAGAUAUCGGGAGGAAUACCAAUGGCGAAGGCAGCUCUCUGGUUCGCAACUGACACUGAGACUCGAAAGCAUGGGUAGCAAACAGG
Molecule: ribosomal RNA, 253 nt
Filed under: uncultured bacterium
Lineage: Bacteria
Description: partial 16S ribosomal RNA
Rfam family: Bacterial small subunit ribosomal RNA
Source: RNAcentral